UCAAAGCCGGAUGACAGCCAAUCAAUCAACCGUCAAAUCAGACAUGGCAACGGUUGAUUAUAGCUUCUUCCAGUCCACAUAAUCCUUUUGUCUGUACCCAAUUGUUUAUUUUAUCAAAGAAAAGGAGAGGUCAUUCUUCCACCUCCCAAUUCCAAAGUUAGCCGCUUGGCUCAAAUGUUCACAAAGACCCUACUACAGAGACAGUAGGCUCUGGCACCGCCUUGGGCAUUCCGUUAUAGCAGACUGAGCACCGUUUCCCCACAUUCUAAUUCUUCCACCACGGCCAGGGAUUCUGAGCUGAGACGACAGACAGCAUCAUCACUCCUCCAGAGAGAGGGUGAUGGAUCCAGAAGACAGGGAAGCAGAGAAGAGGGACCAGAGAGACCAGAGGGACAAGAGAGACCAG
Long non-coding RNA from Coregonus clupeaformis (lake whitefish), 406 nucleotides. RefSeq lists it as uncharacterized. NCBI's taxonomy places the organism in Eukaryota, Metazoa, Chordata, Actinopteri, Salmoniformes, Salmonidae. The record is from RefSeq and is a predicted model, not a curated record. The transcript is spliced from 3 exons.